Molecule: ribosomal RNA, 2294 nt
Filed under: Campylobacter coli
Lineage: Bacteria; Pseudomonadati; Campylobacterota; Epsilonproteobacteria; Campylobacterales; Campylobacteraceae
Description: partial 23S ribosomal RNA
Rfam family: Bacterial large subunit ribosomal RNA
Source: RNAcentral
AGGUAAGCUACUAAGAGCGAAUGGUGGAUGCCUUGACUGGUAAAGGCGAUGAAGGACGUACUAGACUGCGAUAAGCUACGGGGAGCUGUCAAGAAGCUUUGAUCCGUAGAUUUCCGAAUGGGGCAACCCAAUGUAUAGAGAUAUACAUUACCUAUAUAGGAGCGAACGAGGGGAAUUGAAACAUCUUAGUACCCUCAGGAAAAGAAAUCAAUAGAGAUUGCGUCAGUAGCGGCGAGCGAAAGCGCAAGAGGGCAAACCCAGUGCUUGCACUGGGGGUUGUAGGACUGCAAUGUGCAAGAGGUAAGUUUAGCAGAACAUUCUGGAAAGUAUAACCAUAGAGGGUGAUAGUCCCGUAUGCGAAAAACAAACCUUAGCUAGCAGUAUCCUGAGUAGGGCGGGACACGAGGAAUCCUGUCUGAAUCUGGGUCGACCACGAUCCAACCCUAAAUACUAAUACCAGAUCGAUAGUGCACAAGUACCGUGAGGGAAAGGUGAAAAGAACUGAGGUGAUCAGAGUGAAAUAGAACCUGAAACCAUUUGCUUACAAUCAUUCAGAGCCCUAUGUAGCAAUACAGGGUGAUGGACUGCCUUUUGCAUAAUGAGCCUGCGAGUUGUGGUGUCUGGCAAGGUUAAGCAAACGCGAAGCCGUAGCGAAAGCGAGUCUGAAUAGGGCGCUUAGUCAGAUGCUGCAGACCCGAAACGAAGUGAUCUAUCCAUGAGCAAGUUGAAGCUAGUGUAAGAACUAGUGGAGGACUGAACCCAUAGGCGUUGAAAAGCCCCGGGAUGACUUGUGGAUAGGGGUGAAAGGCCAAUCAAACUUCGUGAUAGCUGGUUCUCUCCGAAAUAUAUUUAGGUAUAGCGUUGUGUCGUAAUAUAAGGGGGUAGAGCACUGAAUGGGCUAGGGCAUACACCAAUGUACCAAACCCUAUCAAACUCCGAAUACCUUAUAUGUAAUCACAGCAGUCAGGCGGCGAGUGAUAAAAUCCGUCGUCAAGAGGGAAACAACCCAGACUACCAGCUAAGGUCCCUAAAUCUUACUUAAGUGGAAAACGAUGUGAAGUUACUUAAACAACCAGGAGGUUGGCUUAGAAGCAGCCAUCCUUUAAAGAAAGCGUAAUAGCUCACUGGUCUAGUGAUUUUGCGCGGAAAAUAUAACGGGGCUAAAGUAAGUACCGAAGCUGUAGACUUAGUUUACUAAGUGGUAGGAGAGCGUUCUAUUUGCGUCGAAGGUAUACCGGUAAGGAGUGCUGGAGCGAAUAGAAGUGAGCAUGCAGGCAUGAGUAGCGAUAAUUAAUGUGAGAAUCAUUAACGCCGUAAACCCAAGGUUUCCUACGCGAUGCUCGUCAUCGUAGGGUUAGUCGGGUCCUAAGUCGAGUCCGAAAGGGGUAGACGAUGGCAAAUUGGUUAAUAUUCCAAUACCAACAUUAGUGUGCGAUGGAAGGACGCUUAGGGCUAAGGGGGCUAGCGGAUGGAAGUGCUAGUCUAAGGUCGUAGGAGGUUAUACAGGCAAAUCCGUAUAACAAUACUCCGAGAACUGAAAGGCUUUUUGAAGUCUUCGGAUGGAUAGAAGAACCCCUGAUGCCGUCGAGCCAAGAAAAGUUUCUAAGUUUAGCUAAUGUUGCCCGUACCGUAAACCGACACAGGUGGGUGGGAUGAGUAUUCUAAGGCGCGUGGAAGAACUCUCUUUAAGGAACUCUGCAAAAUAGCACCGUAUCUUCGGUAUAAGGUGUGGUUCGCUUCGUAUUAGGAUUUACUCCGAAAGCGAAGAAACUUACAACAAAGAGUCCCUCCCGACUGUUUACCAAAAACACAGCACUCUGCUAACUCGUAAGAGGAUGUAUAGGGUGUGACGCCUGCCCGGUGCUCGAAGGUUAAUUGAUGGGGUUAGCAUUAGCGAAGCUCUUGAUCGAAGCCCGAGUAAACGGCGGCCGUAACUAUAACGGUCCUAAGGUAGCGAAAUUCCUUGUCGGUUAAAUACCGACCUGCAUGAAUGGCGUAACGAGAUGGGAGCUGUCUCAAAGAGGGAUCCAGUGAAAUUGUAGUGGAGGUGAAAAUUCCUCCUACCCGCGGCAAGACGGAAAGACCCCGUGGACCUUUACUACAGCUUGACACUGCUACUUGGAUAAGAAUGUGCAGGAUAGGUGGGAGGCUUUGAGUAUAUGACGCCAGUUGUAUAUGAGCCAUUGUUGAGAUACCACUCUUUCUUAUUUGGGUAGCUAACCAGCUUGAGUUAUCCUCAAGUGGGACAAUGUCUGGUGGGUAGUUUGACUGGGGCGGUCGCCUCCCAAAUAAUA